Molecule: ribosomal RNA, 589 nt
Filed under: uncultured bacterium
Lineage: Bacteria
Description: bacterial SSU rRNA
Rfam family: Bacterial small subunit ribosomal RNA
Source: RNAcentral
CCUACGGGAGGCAGCAGUGGGGAAUAUUGGACAAUGGGCGGAAGCCUGAUCCAGCCAUGCCGCGUGUGUGAAGAAGGCCUUUUGGUUGUAAAGCACUUUAAGCGAGGAGGAGGCUACUAGUACUAAUACUACUGGAUAGUGGACGUUACUCGCAGAAUAAGCACCGGCUAACUCUGUGCCAGCAGCCGCGGUAAUACAGAGGGUGCGAGCGUUAAUCGGAUUUACUGGGCGUAAAGCGUGCGUAGGCGGCUUUUUAAGUCGGAUGUGAAAUCCCCGAGCUUAACUUGGGAAUUGCAUUCGAUACUGGGAAGCUAGAGUAUGGGAGAGGAUGGUAGAAUUCCAGGUGUAGCGGUGAAAUGCGUAGAGAUCUGGAGGAAUACCGAUGGCGAAGGCAGCCAUCUGGCCUAAUACUGACGCUGAGGUACGAAAGCAUGGGGAGCAAACAGGAUUAGAUACCCUGGUAGUCCAUGCCGUAAACGAUGUCUACUAGCCGUUGGGGCCUUUGAGGCUUUAGUGGCGCAGCUAACGCGAUAAGUAGACCGCCUGGGGGAGUACGGUCGCAAGACUAAAACGUCAAAGGAAUUGACGG